CUUCAUCUUCGACCCGUCUCCACAGUCUUCGGCUUGCCCUACCUGAUUCCACUCGCCGUCAGGUAGGUUUCUCUCCAAUUAAAUCAGUCUUCUGAAAUUGUUCAACGUCUCGCUGCCUCCGCUCGCUGUCAUCUCCUCCGGAUCCCUUUUCCAAUUAAUUUGGAUGCAUGAAGAUGAAUUCAACCGUCGAAACGUUCCAACGUCCGACCGUUCAGUGGCCCUCUCUACUUCAGCGAACUUGUGAAUCUUGACACCAUUUUGGCUUCAAAUUUAGACAAAUAUUCAUGAAACGAGCAUUGGAUCUUCACUGUGUCUGCUACUAGCUCAACAUAGGAGGAGACCGAUAACUAUUUUCCAGGAUUUCGAUUACUUUCAGAAAGAUAGAUAAGACAAAACAUGCAACCACAUAACUUCAAGCUUGAUUCAGAUUUUCAAAAUAUAUAUAAAGUCUUUUUAUUUUAGUGAUGCUUCUGAAUCAUACCAUACAAAUAAAAGGAUGAUCUUAUAGGAUGACAAUAUAUGAUCAUUUUUUCUUUUUAUAAUA
Molecule: long non-coding RNA, 544 nt
Organism: Dendrobium catenatum
Lineage: Eukaryota; Viridiplantae; Streptophyta; Magnoliopsida; Asparagales; Orchidaceae
Exons: 5
Source: RefSeq, a predicted model, not a curated record